CGUGACAUGAGCCGAAGGCAGAUGCUAACCGACUGAGUCACCCAGGCUCAGCCUACCCCCCUCACCAAGCAUUUUUUAAGCAUCCACUCUGUGCUGGGCAUAUAACUGAUCAAGAUAGAUAAUGUCCCUGUUCUCGUGGAGCUCAUGGCGGUGGGGGUGGAGGGGUAGGGGACAGAGAAGUGAACAAGCUAAUCUCAGAUUAUUUUUAGAAGUACAGGUGUCCUUUUUACCUGAAUCUGUUUGGUUCCUGAGUUUAAGUGGCAGGGAUUUAGGCACUGAGUGAUACCUGUGCUUGGAGGAAUAUUAACAUAGUAAUGUGAUGGAGAGUAAAUUGGAGGGAGGUGCUAAGACAACUUUCCUGAGGGGAUGUGCUCGAGGUGAGACCGGAAUAACUAGAAACUAGUUUCUAACCAUGUGGAGAUCCUAAGGGAAGAGGGAGUAACAAGUAUAAAGGCCCCAGGGUAGGAACAAGCUAGAUGUAUUCAGGGAUCAUCAAGGGCAGCCUGGCUAGAGUCCAGUAAGUGGUGGGGAUAUCUGAAUCUUAUCCUUAGUACAAUAGAUAUUGUAAACCAGCAAUGCUGUUGGUUUUAGGCAAUGAAUAUGUUAUGAUACAGCUGUUUAUGGCGUACUACGAGGCAAUUCAAAGGAUAAAGUAAAAUUAUUUGUACCCCUAUGGGAAGAUCUCCAAGAUACAUAGUUAAAUGCAAAAAGCAAGUUGUAGAGCAGUAUGUAAGGUAUUUCACAAAACAAGACUCUUUGUGAAUGAAGCAUGGAGUAGGGACUCUUGUAUGUACGUACCAAACGGUUAACAGUAUUUAUUUCUAGGGAGCACAGGGGGAUUGGUGAGGGGGUGAAGGAGGGCUGUUGUUUUUACUCCCCAGUAUAUUUGGAUUUUGUAACAAAGGAAGUGCAUGGGCAGUGAGGAACUGGUGAUUGUGUGACAAGGUGUGGCUUUCCAGGAAAACACAAUAGCUAAAUAGGGAUACGGGAUUGCAGAACAUAUUGCCCCUUGUGACUUUCCUGCCUGCCAUACUGGAUUCUUUACAAAAUUAUGUAAGCAACUAGUGUAUUUAACCCAACAUUCCCCUCAAGAUAUCAAAUGUGUGAUCACCGUUUCUGAUGAGCCUACAGUAUGUUCCCAGUAUUGCCAUGGGAACAUUUGUGGUGUUGAUCCCUAGUUGAACAGGAAUGUGAUCCUACAGGAAUCAGUGACUUUCAAAGAUGUGGCUGUGGACUUCACCCAGGAAGAAUGGCACCACGUGGACCCAGCUCAGAGGCGCUUGUACAGGGAUGUGAUGCUGGAGAACUAUAGCCACCUGGUUUCUCUUGAGUUCCUGAAGAUCCAGGACUAGUACUGACUUGUAGGAGGGGUCUUUGUCCACUUGCCCAAACAACCAAAUCUUGUGUAUUUACCCAUGAGCAGGAUAUCAAGUUUCCAAGCCAGAGGUGAUCUUCAAAUUGGAACAAGGAGAAGAGCCGUGGAUAUCAGAGGGAGAAAUCCAAAGACCUUUCUGUCCAGACUGGAAGACCAGGCCUGAAGCCAAAUCAUCACAUCUGCAACAGAGCGUAUCUGCAGGAUCCCGUAGCACAGAUGGCCUUUCGCAUGCCACAUUUGAAAGCACUUGGGAUGUUAGUAGCCAAUUAGAGAGACACCAGGAAACCUGGAAAAGGUACCUGGGGCCAGGUGCAUCCAACCAGAAGAAAAUAAUCACACCAGAGGAAAAUUUUCAGCAAAAUAAAUUUGGUGAAAAUUCUAGAUUGAACACAGUCCUGGUUACACAACUGAACAUUCCUUCAAGGCCUACUGAAUGUGAUACACUUGGAAGCAAUUUGGGACAUAAUUCAGAUGUAAUUAAUCAGAAUAAUAUCCUUGCAAAAAAGAAACCUUAUAAAUGUGACAAAUGUAGAAAAGCCUUUAUUCAUAGAUCAUCACUCACUAAACACGAGAAAACUCAUAAAGGAGAAGGAGCUUUCCCCAAUGGUACAGAUCAGGGAAUUUAUCCUGGAAAGAAACACCAUGAAUGUACUGACUGUGGAAAAACCUUCCUCUGGAAGACACAACUUACUGAGCAUCAGAGAAUUCACACUGGGGAGAAACCCUUUGAAUGUAAUGUGUGUGGGAAGGCCUUCAGACAUAGCUCAUCCCUUGGUCAGCAUGAGAAUGCUCACACGGGAGAGAAACCUUACCAGUGCAGUCUCUGUGGGAAAGCCUUCCAGCGCAGCUCCUCCCUUGUUCAGCACCAGAGAAUUCACACUGGAGAGAAACCCUAUCGAUGCAAUUUAUGUGGGAGAUCUUUUAGGCAUGGCACAUCCCUCACUCAGCAUGAAGUCACACAUAGUGGAGAGAAACCCUUCCAGUGUAAGGAAUGUGGGAAAGCCUUUAGUCGAUGUUCUUCCCUUGUCCAGCAUGAAAGGACUCAUACAGGAGAGAAACCUUUUGAAUGUAGCAUAUGUGGGAGGGCUUUUGGUCAGAGUCCAUCCCUUUAUAAACAUAUGAGGAUUCAUAAGAGAGGCAAACCUUACCAAAGCAAUAACUACAGCAUAGAUUUCAAGCACAACCCAUCUCUUACUCAAGAUGAAAGCACUGUCACUGAAGUGAAAUCCUAUCAUUGUCAUGACUGUGGGGAAGACUUCAGUCACAUUACUGACUUUACUGAUCAUCAGAGGAUCCAUACUGGACAGAACCCCUAUGAAUGUGAGCAGAACUUUAGUCAACAACCUAUUUCUCAUCCUGGAGAGAAGCCCUAUCAGUGUAAUGUAUGUGGAAAAGCUUUCAAAAGGAGUACAAGCUUCAUAGAGCAUCACAGAAUUCAUACUGGAGAAAAACCCUAUGAAUGUAAUGAAUGUGGAGAAGCCUUCAGUCGACGCUCAUCACUUACUCAGCAUGAGAGAACCCACACUGGAGAGAAACCCUAUGAAUGUAUUGACUGUGGGAAAGCCUUCAGUCAAAGUUCAUCCCUCAUUCAGCAUGAGAGAACUCAUACUGGAGAAAAACCCUAUGAAUGUAAUGAAUGUGGGCGAGCCUUUCGAAAGAAAACCAAUCUGCAUGAUCAUCAGAGAAUUCAUACUGGAGAAAAACCCUAUGCUUGUAAGGAAUGUGGGAAAAACUUCAGUAGAAGUUCAGCACUAACUAAACACCAGAGAAUUCAUGCACGAAAUAAACUGUAGAAGCCCUGAAAUUAAGGAAUGUGCAGAAAACUUUAGCUAAACUAUUGUUCUUAUUCAGUAUCACAGGAUUCUUACUAGAGAGGAAGCUUGAGAAUGUAAUGGUGUGUGUGUGUGUGGUGUGUGAAGAAAGCUCUAUGCUAGUAGACAAUGUUUUUUUUAAUAAAUAGAAGCCACAUUCUCAAAUCUGAUUACAGACUUUGUAAAAACAACUAUAAACAUCAUAUAUAACCAAUUGGAAAUGAUAUGCCUAUGUAUUGGACUUUAUAAAGCUUUUGAAUAUAUGUAUGCAGGAGAGCAUCAACUUUGAACAGUUUGACUUGUAACUCUGUGUUUACAGCCUUUUUUAAUAAAACUCCUGCAGUAAUGACCAAAACUUAUUUUAAAAUUGCUUGAUGACCGCAUUCAACUGCAGCUCUUACAUUAAAUUCACCAUGGAAACCAGUUCCACCUCCCGGAAUCCACCAUUCAAAGAAUGAGAUCAGCUGGUCCAACCACUUCAUUGUACAGAUAAGAAACCAAAAGCCAAAGAUGUGAAGUGGUUUGCACAGUGUGAUACAGCUUAUAAUGCAAAGCUGGGUGGAGAAAGCGGGUCUCCUGGAUCUUUGACCCUGUGGUCUAGCCACUGAAAUGGAAUUCAGAGGGCUUUAAAGUAAAUUUUAAAAUAAAUCAGAUGCACAAACUAAUGAGCACUUGAGUUGGAUACUCUAGGAAUUCAUAAAAGCAUAAGAGACAGCAAAAUACAGAGGCAGAUUUGUCACAGACUUAUUCAGAACAACUUGUUGGAAGCUUACAUACCAAAAUGUUAACAAAACCUGUGAAUAGUUCAACUGCUGGUGACCUUUUUCCUUUUCCCAAGUGUAAUAUUUAUACAUUCAACUAACAUGUCAGUUUCAUAGACCUGCUCAGUCCUCUUACUGUGCUUUUUAUGACACUCCCAUGACAAGGCACUGCCCCAAGCUUCCUAUAUUGGAUCAGUGGGAAAACAGCACAAAACUAAAGAGGAAACAUUCUCCCCAAGUUAAUUUUACUGUGGAGGAGUAUAAAUGUAAUUACCCAUUGUCAUAAAAUCUAUCUUUAAAUCAGUUUAGAGAACCCAUGUAAUGACCCAUUUUGUGUGCCAAGGAAAUACUUCAUGCUCUUCCACCAGUAAAGCAUGAGAUAAGCAUCAGUAGCCCACUCCAAUCCCUAAUGUUCUCUCAUGCCUACCGUAGGCUAUCCUAAAAGAAUCCCAAAGGUGCCAACAGUGGAGAUAAAUUUGGAAGUAAUUGUGGACCUUGACCCCUUUCACACAAGAACCUCUCCUCUCUAAAGAUAAGUAAAUUUUCCCACCCUGAUGAAUCAUGGAGAGGAAUGAUAUAGGUGAUGUUGAUGGUAAACCUUUCCUACUGUCUUCUUUACAUGCCAAGUAGCAAGAUCCAUUAUCCUUCUCUCAUCCUGGACAACAGGAAGUAACUCCCAAAUAUUCUUCAUAAUUCUUUGCAGGAAAAAUGUGCAUGGGGGCUGAAAUGUGUGAUGUCUAGCACAAUGAGUCCAUUACAAGUGGAACAAGAUGGGAAUCUGCCCUUCCAAGACUUUAACUGUUCAAAAAUAUCUUGUUUGUGAUGUUCCAUGCUUAACACACACACAGUGCCAAGACCAUGUGUUGUCUGAUACAUAGUUUGACAAUGGGUAAUUCUAUACAGACCCCCCCUUCCACUGAGUGGCUGCCAUGCUUAUCAGGAACUUAUUUGCUGCUGAUUAUUUGGGGAUCCGCAUAGUGGACUAUUUGCAAGAAUGACAUAAAUUGGAACCAGUUGAGUGCUUUCCUACUUUAAAAGAAGUUUGUAAAGACUUAGUUCCAGAAGACUCAAAGAAAACCACUGGUUUGUGUGUGGAACUUGGCCUAGAUCCGACCAAUCUCUGAAUCUCAGCACAUCUGCAUUGACAAAGAAGGAGCCCAGAAUGUCCGUGGUAUGUGUGGUUGAUUGAGCAGAGGAUUCUCGAGUUCCAGCAACCAGGCACCAUGCACUUAUGAACACCCAGCUUCCUAGGCCACAUGAAAUACAUCCUUGUAACAUCAUUGUAUUAUUUCAAUAAAUAGCCUUCUUAGUUGAA
This is a non-coding RNA of Leptonychotes weddellii (Weddell seal), 5262 nucleotides long. The record is from RefSeq and is a predicted model, not a curated record. NCBI's taxonomy places the organism in Eukaryota, Metazoa, Chordata, Mammalia, Carnivora, Phocidae.